RNAcentral lists this unclassified non-coding RNA (342 nucleotides) under soil metagenome. Its description in RNAcentral is "partial contains 5.8S ribosomal RNA, internal transcribed spacer 2, and large subunit ribosomal RNA". The stretch from base 1 to 120 matches the Rfam family "5.8S ribosomal RNA", at positions 35 to 154 of the family's 154-position model. The record is from RNAcentral.
GAUGAAGAACGUAGCGAAAUGCGAUAAGUAGUGUGAAUUGCAGAAUUCAGUGAAUCAUCGAAUCUUUGAACGCACAUUGCGGCCAUAGGUAUUCCUUUGGCCAUGCCUGUUCGAGCGUCAUUUACACCCUCAAGCCUAGCUUGGUGUUGGGCGCCUGUCCCGCCGUUUUCGCGCGCGGACUCGCCUCAAAGUCAUUGGCGGCGGUCGUGCCGGCCCCCUCGCGCAGCACAUUUGCGCUUCUCGGAGGCCCGGCGGAUCCGCGCUCCAGCAAGACCUUUCACGACUUGACCCCGGAUCAGGUAGGGAUACCCGCUGAACUUAAGCAUAUCAAUAAGCGGAGGA